GGUGCAGGGAAAGGAGGGGGUUAGCCAAGAAUGACCUGUGGGCCAUAUGAGGCCUACUGCCUGUUUUCAUAUGGUUCAAGCUGAGAAAAAUUUUUUUAUCUUUAUUUCAUGAUAUGUGAAAAUUACACAAAUUCAAGUUUUGGUGAAUGUAGUUUUAUUGGCACAUAACCAUGUUUUGUUUGCUUCUGGCUUUUGGCUGCUUUCCUGUUACACAGUGGUAGAGCCAAGUAGCUGUAAUGGAGACUGUAUGAGGCCCCCCAAAUCUAGACCGUUUCCUAUCUGACUUCUUAUAGCCUUUGAUCUAGAGGACAAAUCUUGAAAAAAUAAUAAUGGAAAGACAAGGUUAGAAAGUGCCACAUCACAAAAGGUAACCUGGUGGUGGG
Molecule: long non-coding RNA, 383 nt
Filed under: Marmota monax (woodchuck)
Lineage: Eukaryota; Metazoa; Chordata; Mammalia; Rodentia; Sciuridae
Source: RNAcentral